GACGAACGCUGGCGGCGUGCUUAACACAUGCAAGUCGAACGGAAAGGCCCUGCUUUUGUGGGGUGCUCGAGUGGCGCAGGGGUGAGUAACACGUGAGUAACCUGCCCUUGACUUUGGGAUAACUUCAGGAAACUGGGGCUAAUACCGGAUAGGAGCUCCUGCUGCAUGGGGGGGGUUGGAAAGUUUCGGCGGUGGGGGAUGGACUCGCGGCUUAUCAGCUUGUUGGUGGGGUAGUGGCUUACCAAGGCUGUGACGGGUAGCCGGCCUGAGAGGGUGACCGGCCACAUUGGGACUGAGAUACGGCCCAGACUCCUACGGGAGGCAGCAGUGGGGAAUAUUGCACAAUGGGCGGAAGCCUGAUGCAGCAACGCCGCGUGCGGGAUGACGGCCUUCGGGUUGUAAACCGCUUUCGCCUGUGACGAAGCGUGAGUGACGGUAAUGGGUAAAGAAGCACCGGCUAACUACGUG
This 468-nucleotide ribosomal RNA is filed under the name uncultured bacterium. RNAcentral describes it as "partial 16S ribosomal RNA". It matches the Rfam family "Bacterial small subunit ribosomal RNA", at positions 28 to 507 of the family's 1533-position model. The record is from RNAcentral.